CUUUGUCUUCUAGGUUUUGUCAUUCUUUUUGGGUCUGUAAAAAGGAGGCACUAUUUCCAAUGCUUUGGGUUGGUCCACGGUUGGGGUCCAUUUCAAGUCAGGAGAUACAGGCUAGAUUAAAGACUGAUGGAUGAUAAGGUACAGUAGGGGGCUGUCAAUUAUUUGACCUCUAGUUACGUAACAUUUCCCAAAACUAUGAAGCUGGGAAUGUGUAAAUGUAUGUUUUUAAACUAUUGCUUUGUAUAUGUUGUAAUAAUGUCUAGACAUUUAUGGCUGCUAUUUAUUUUUUAAGUAAUAUUUUUAAACAGUGUUGAGGGAAACUAUAUGCUCAUAUCUAAAGACACUCAUUUAAAGUGUUUUCUUGGGAAACAACAUUAGCAGCAAUGAGUACCACAGCAAAUGUGUAUGUACUUACAAAUUGAGUGUAGAAUCAGUUCUCAUAGUUAUCAAGUACUAUAAAGAUUCUCCAGUAUUUCAUAUCCAGACCUCUGUACUGUGUAGCUUGAAUCCCCUGCCCUCCCUCUGGUUCUUCAGAAGUGGUAUCUCUCCUAUCCGGAGCUCCUGGUUCUUGGGAAGCUUGUCUGCUGUCUCUAACCCAGCCUCGGGCUCCUUAAAUGUGGAGCAGUUCACAGCACAGGUCCAGUUGGGCCGGUGGUCAACUACCAGGUCCAAAGUUGGUAGCGACGUUGUGCUAAUGAUGUCCCUGAACCCAAGAGAAGAUUUCAGUGAGGGACUGUCUGUAGCGAAAGUCUCAAAGAUGAUUGAGCUCCAAAAGGUUGAGAAGGAUGCAGAAGACGCCGACACAGAACAUGAAGAGGAGGAAGAUGGUUUUCUCUGUGGGUCGAGACACAUAGCAGUCCACCGGCAGCCGGCAGGGCGUGGCCUCGCACAGGAAUUGGACGGGCACGUGGAAGCCGAAGAGGAGCCACUGGGCCGUGACAAAGCCCACCUCCAGCAGCGCCCGGAAGCACACAUGAAACACAUAGUACUUGGAGAGGACACCCCCUGCUCCUCCACCACCACCAGGGCCUCCUGGCGCGUGGUAGUGGCCCUCCCUGUAGACGAGAGCCCUGGCCGGGGUUAGAGACAUGGCGGUGGCGGCCGUAGCAGUGGCGGCCUCUCCCUUCAGGAGGCCCUGACCCUGGGUGGUGAUUCCCUCCAAGACGUCGGCCAGGCUGUGACCCAGGUGACGGUGUGAGCGGAUGGAGCAGCUAUCCGAGUCGCAGCUCCGUUCGAACGCCUCGCGACCCCUGUCCUUCCCCUCGGCUCGAAGCGCCUCCCUCGGGUCAGCCCCGUGGCCCUGGCCCGCCGGUUUGCGGGGCAGCUUCGACAGGUUGUGCCACGUGUAGAUGAUGAAACAGAGAGACGGCGUGGAGACGCUGAUGAUGUGGAAGACCCAGAAGCGUGGCUGUGAGAUGGGGGCAAAGGCAUCGUAACACACCGUGGUGCAGCCUGGCUGCAGGGUGUUGCACACAAACAUCUCCUGCUCGUCGGCGUACACGUCCUCGGUCGCCACGGCAAUUAUGAGGAGGCGGAAAAUCACCAUAACGGUUAGCCAGAGGCGUCCAAUCAUGGUAGAGUGCUGGUGGACGGCGUCCAGGAGCCGUUUGAGGAGUGUCCACUCCGUCAUGAUAGUGGUGGUCCACGGUCCUCCCCCCCUCAGA
Esox lucius (northern pike) is the source of this 1664-nucleotide long non-coding RNA. Lineage: Eukaryota; Metazoa; Chordata; Actinopteri; Esociformes; Esocidae. The record is from Ensembl.